GCUUGUCUCAAAGAUUAAGCCAUGCAUGUCUAAGUAUAAACAACUUUAUACAGUGAAACUGCAGAUGGCUCAUUAAAUCAGUUAUAAUUUAUUUGAUGAUUAACUUUACUACAUGGAUAACCGUAGUAAUUCUAGAGCUAAUACAUGCGUCAAAACCCAACUUCUGGGAGGGUUGUAUUUAUUAGAUGGAAACCAAUGCGGGGCAACCCGGUAUAUGGUGAUUCAUAAUAACUUUCGGAUCGAUCUUCGGAUCGAUGCAUCAUUCAAGUUUCUGCCCUAUCAGCUUUGGAUGGUAGGGUAUUGGCCUACCAUGGCUUUAACGGGUAACGGAGAAUUAGGGUUCGAUUCCGGAGAGGGAGCCUGAGAAAUGGCUACCACAUCCAAGGAAGGCAGCAGG
Molecule: ribosomal RNA, 397 nt
Filed under: uncultured Spumella
Lineage: Eukaryota; Synurophyceae; Ochromonadales; Ochromonadaceae
Description: partial small subunit ribosomal RNA
Rfam family: Eukaryotic small subunit ribosomal RNA
Source: RNAcentral